RNAcentral lists this ribosomal RNA (217 nucleotides) under uncultured bacterium. RNAcentral describes it as "partial 16S ribosomal RNA". It matches the Rfam family "Bacterial small subunit ribosomal RNA", at positions 582 to 793 of the family's 1533-position model. The record is from RNAcentral.
GUUAAGUCAGAUGUGAAAGCCCGGGGCUUAACCUCGGAAUUGCAUUUGAAACUGGCAGGCUAGAGUCUUGUAGAGGGGGGUAGGAAUUUCAGGUUGGUUAAGCGGUGAAAUGCGUAGAGAUCUGAAGGAAUACCAGUGGCGAAGGCGGCCCCCUGGACAAAGACUGACGCUCAGAUGCGAAAGCGUGGGGAGCAAACAGGAUUAGAUACCCUGGUAG